Molecule: ribosomal RNA, 907 nt
Filed under: uncultured Bacillota bacterium
Lineage: Bacteria; Bacillati; Bacillota
Description: bacterial SSU rRNA
Rfam family: Bacterial small subunit ribosomal RNA
Source: RNAcentral
CUUUGAUUAUGGCUCAGGACGAACGCUGGCGGCGUGCCAAACACAUGCAAGUCGAACGAAGCUUGAUUUAUGAUUUCUUCGGAAUGAAUAAUGAUAUGACUGAGUGGCGGACGGGUGAGUAACGCGUGAGCAACCUGCCCUUCGGAACGGGAUAGCGUCUGGAAACGGACGGUAAUACCGUAUAACGUAUUUUUACCGCAUGAUAGAAAUACCAAAACUGAGGUGCCGAAGGAUGGGCUCGCGUCUGAUUAGAUAGUUGGUGGGGUAACGGCCUACCAAGUCGACGAUCAGUAGCCGGACUGAGAGGUUGAACGGCCACAUUGGGACUGAGACACGGCCCAGACUCCUACGGGAGGCAGCAGUGGGGAAUAUUGCACAAUGGGGGAAACCCUGAUGCAGCAACGCCGCGUGAAGGAAGACGGUUUUCGGAUUGUAAACUUCUGUUCUUAGUGAAGAUAAUGACGGUAGCUAAGGAGCAAGCCACGGCUAACUACGUGCCAGCAGCCGCGGUAAUACGUAGGUGGCAAGCGUUGUCCGGAAUUACUGGGUGUAAAGGGAGCGUAGGCGGGAAGCCAAGUCAGCUGUGAAAACUACGGGCUUAACCUGUAGACUGCAGUUGAAACUGGUUUUCUUGAGUGAAGUAGAGGUUGGCGGAAUUCCGAGUGUAGCGGUGAAAUGCGUAGAUAUUCGGAGGAACACCGGUGGCGAAGGCGGCCAACUGGGCUUUAACUGACGCUGAGGCUCGAAAGUGUGGGGAGCAAACAGGAUUAGAUACCCUGGUAGUCCACACUGUAAACGAUGAUAACUAGGUGUGGGGGGUCUGACCCCUUCCGUGCCGCAGCUAACGCAAUAAGUUAUCCACCUGGGGAGUACGACCGCAAGGUUGCAACUCAAAUGAAUUGACGGA